AACCAUUCUCACCUGCGGCUAGACCUGCGGAAGGAUCAUUACCGAGUUAGGGUAGUCACACUGCCCGACCUCCCAACCCUGUGUCUACCAUACCUUGUCGUUGCUUCGGCGGACCGGUUGACCAACUGGUCAUGACCGCCGGGGGCUGGCUCUGUCCCCCCUGGAGAGCGUCCGCCGAUGGCCCAACCACAAAACUCUUGUACCGAAACGUGUCGUCUGAAUUAUGUUUGAGAAAUCCAA
RNAcentral lists this unclassified non-coding RNA (240 nucleotides) under soil metagenome. RNAcentral describes it as "partial contains 5.8S ribosomal RNA, internal transcribed spacer 2, and large subunit ribosomal RNA". The record is from RNAcentral.